RNAcentral lists this ribosomal RNA (460 nucleotides) under uncultured bacterium. Its description in RNAcentral is "partial 16S ribosomal RNA". It matches the Rfam family "Bacterial small subunit ribosomal RNA", at positions 338 to 795 of the family's 1533-position model. The record is from RNAcentral.
CCUACGGGUGGCAGCAGUGAGGAAUAUUGGUCAAUGGACGCAAGUCUGAACCAGCCACGCCGCGUGCAGGAAGACGGCUCUAUGAGUUGUAAACUGCUUUUGUACGAGGGUAAACGCAGAUACGCGUAUCUGUCUGAAAGUACCGUACGAAUAAGGAACGGCCAACUCCGUGCCAGAAGCGCCGGUAAUACGGUGGAUUCAAGCGUUAUCCGGUUUUAUUUGGUUUAAGGGGUGCGUAGGCGGUCGGGUAAGUUAGAGGUGAAAUCCCGAGGCUCAACUUCGGAAUUGCCUCUGAUACUGUUCGGCUAGAGAGUAGUUGCGGUAGGGGGAAUGUAUGGGGUAGCGGUGAAAUGCUUAGAGAUCAUACAGAACACCGAUUGCGAAGGCAGCUUACCAGGCUACUUCUGACGUUGAGGCACGAAAGCGUGGGGAGCAAACAGGAUUAGAUACCCUUGUAGUC